AACACAUGCAAGUCGAGGGGCAGCAUAAAAGUAGCAAUACUUGGUGGCGACCGGCGCACGGGUGAGUAACGCGUAUGCAACCUACCUAUCAGAGGGGAAUAACCCGGCGAAAGUCGGACUAAUACCGCAUAAAACAGGGGCACCGCAUGGUGAUAUUUGUUAAAGAAAUUCGCUGAUAGAUGGGCAUGCGUUCCAUUAGGUAGUUGGUGAGGUAACGGCUCACCAAGCCGACGAUGGAUAGGGGAACUGAGAGGUUGGUCCCCCACACUGGUACUGAGACACGGACCAGACUCCUACGGGAGGCAGCAGUGAGGAAUAUUGGUCAAUGGGCGGGAGCCUGAACCAGCCAAGUCGCGUGAAGGAAGAAGGAUCUAUGGUUCGUAAACUUCUUUUGCAGGGGAAUAAAGUGCAGGACGUGUCCUGUUUUGUAUGUACCCUGAGAAUAAGGAUCGGCUAACUCCGUGCCAGCCGCUGC
RNAcentral lists this ribosomal RNA (475 nucleotides) under uncultured bacterium. RNAcentral describes it as "bacterial SSU rRNA". It matches the Rfam family "Bacterial small subunit ribosomal RNA", at positions 50 to 518 of the family's 1533-position model. The record is from RNAcentral.